Callorhinus ursinus (northern fur seal) is the source of this 660-nucleotide non-coding RNA. NCBI's taxonomy places the organism in Eukaryota, Metazoa, Chordata, Mammalia, Carnivora, Otariidae. The record is from RefSeq and is a predicted model, not a curated record.
GACCUGAGCCGAAGGCAGAUGCUUAACGACUGAGCCACCCAGGUGCCCGUGGCAAGAAGUUGUUUAUUCAGAAUGGGUUCCACAGUGGAGUAUUCUCAUAUAAUUGAAUGUGCAGAUACUAUCAUUCAUAGACUUAAAAAUAUAUAGAUAAUAGUAAAUAUACAAACUCUUGGGCCAUUCUGAGUGGUACUGAUCAUUCCUUGAUGAUUUUAGAUAUUCAGUGCCUUUGACAGUAUCAUGAAUAGCUAUGGUUUUGUUAGGGACUUUGAAGUAUCUGGUUGCAUUAAGUUAAUAUUUGUUUAGAUUCUGGGGAAGGGGGAAAGACUUUAUUUAUAGUUGAAAAAUAAACUAUUAAUCUAUCCUAGAUUAUUACUUUUAGAUUAUAAAAGUUCUAAAUUAUAAAAGCCAUGGUUCCUGUACCAACAGUGUCAUUGACACAUACUGUGUGCUCCAUAAGUAUGUAUUUGUGAAUAAACAGUUGAAUGAAUAAAUGAAUGCCAUUGAUGAACUUCUUUAGAAGAAGCAGAUCUUUAGUUUAUUGAAAGUGGAUUUUCAAUAUUGCCUAGACCUGCAAAGAAAAGAUCUCAUGAAAAGAAAGAGGUCAAAAAGCAAAUGAAUUUUAUGGAUGACCUUGACUUAACUGAGUCAUCAGCUUCAGAG